UUUAGUUUUUAAGGUGAGUAUUUGGAAAUC
This 30-nucleotide non-coding RNA is filed under the name Rattus norvegicus (Norway rat). Lineage: Eukaryota; Metazoa; Chordata; Mammalia; Rodentia; Muridae. The record is from RNAcentral.